RNAcentral lists this ribosomal RNA (215 nucleotides) under Campeiostachys nutans. Its description in RNAcentral is "Elymus nutans partial small subunit ribosomal RNA". The stretch from base 39 to 215 matches the Rfam family "Eukaryotic small subunit ribosomal RNA", at positions 684 to 863 of the family's 1831-position model. Lineage: Eukaryota; Viridiplantae; Streptophyta; Magnoliopsida; Poales; Poaceae. The record is from RNAcentral.
GGAUUGACGUGAUGGUCGGGCUAACAAGUCUGUACUGGUGUGUAGAAUUUCUACCUUCUGGGGAACUAUCAUGUUAUUAAUUUAGCGUGGUGGGAAACCAGGACCUUUACCUUGAAAAAAUUAGAGUGUUCAAAGCAGGCUUACGUCUGAAUACAUUAGCAUGGAAUAAUAAAAUAGGACGGUGGUCCUGUUUUGUUGGUUUCUGAAUCACCGUA